GUAGCUCAGUUGGUUAGAGCACAUCACUCAUAAUGAUGGGGUCACAGGUUCGAAUCCC
Molecule: transfer RNA, 58 nt
Filed under: Escherichia coli
Lineage: Bacteria; Pseudomonadati; Pseudomonadota; Gammaproteobacteria; Enterobacterales; Enterobacteriaceae
Also listed under: 22 other names
Description: tRNA-Met
Rfam family: tRNA
About the family: Transfer RNA (tRNA) molecules are approximately 80 nucleotides in length. Their secondary structure includes four short double-helical elements and three loops (D, anti-codon, and T loops). Further hydrogen bonds mediate the characteristic L-shaped molecular structure. tRNAs have two regions of fundamental functional importance: the anti-codon, which is responsible for specific mRNA codon recognition, and the 3' end, to which the tRNAs corresponding amino acid is attached (by aminoacyl-tRNA synthetases). tRNAs cope with the degeneracy of the genetic code in two manners: having more than one tRNA (with a specific anti-codon) for a particular amino acid; and 'wobble' base-pairing, i.e. permitting non-standard base-pairing at the 3rd anti-codon position.
Source: RNAcentral